GACUCUCGGCAACGGAUAUCUCGGCUCUCGCAUCGAUGAAGAACGUAGCAAAAUGCGAUACUUGGUGUGAAUUGCAGAAUCCCGUGAACCAUCGAGUCUUUGAACGCAAGUUGCGCCCGAAGCCAUCCCGGUCGAGGGCACGCCUGCCUGGGCGUCACGCAUCGCGUCGCGCC
Molecule: ribosomal RNA, 173 nt
Filed under: Pinguicula agnata
Lineage: Eukaryota; Viridiplantae; Streptophyta; Magnoliopsida; Lamiales; Lentibulariaceae
Description: partial 5.8S ribosomal RNA
Rfam family: 5.8S ribosomal RNA
About the family: 5.8S ribosomal RNA (5.8S rRNA) is a component of the large subunit of the eukaryotic ribosome. It is transcribed by RNA polymerase I as part of the 45S precursor that also contains 18S and 28S rRNA.
Source: RNAcentral